UAGGGAAUCUUCCGCAAUGGACGCAAGUCUGACGGAGCAACGCCGCGUGAGUGAAGAAGGAUUUCGGUUCGUAAAACUCUGUUGUUAGAGAAGAACAGCGCAUAGAGUAACUGUUAUGCGUGUGACGGUAUCUAACCAGAAAGCCACGGCUAACUACGUGCCAGCAGCCGCGGUAAUACGUAGGUGGCAAGCGUUGUCCGGAUUUAUUGGGCGUAAAGCGAGCGCAGGCGGUCAAUUAAGUCUGAUGUGAAAGCCCCCGGCUCAACCGGGGAGAGUCAUUGGAAACUGGUUGACUUGAGUGCAGAAAAGGAGAGUGGAAUUCCAUGUGUAGCGGUGAAAUGCGUAAAUAUAUGGAGGAACACCAGUGGCAAAGGCGACUCUCUGGUCUGUAACUGACGCUGAGGUUCGAAAGCGUGGGUAGCAAACAGG
RNAcentral lists this ribosomal RNA (429 nucleotides) under Bacteroidota bacterium. Its description in RNAcentral is "Bacteroidetes bacterium partial 16S ribosomal RNA". It matches the Rfam family "Bacterial small subunit ribosomal RNA", at positions 355 to 776 of the family's 1533-position model. The record is from RNAcentral. Lineage: Bacteria; Pseudomonadati; Bacteroidota.